ACCCUCCAGAUUACUUACCUCUUAGCUCUACCUAUUGGUCUAAAUGGCUAAUCAAGGAGGAAAUGUAAAACAGAACAGAGUUGGGAGUCUUGAGUGACAUACAUAUUUCAUUUUCAAACAAGA
Molecule: small nucleolar RNA, 123 nt
Filed under: Echinops telfairi (small Madagascar hedgehog)
Lineage: Eukaryota; Metazoa; Chordata; Mammalia; Afrosoricida; Tenrecidae
Description: Small nucleolar RNA SNORA61 (ENSETEG00000026507.1)
Source: RNAcentral